This 1255-nucleotide ribosomal RNA is filed under the name human gut metagenome. RNAcentral's name for it is "bacterial LSU rRNA". It matches the Rfam family "Bacterial large subunit ribosomal RNA", at positions 1145 to 2483 of the family's 2925-position model. The record is from RNAcentral.
CUGGUCGAGCGUCUCUGCGCGGAAAAUUUAACGGGGCUAAGAUACAAACCGAAGCUUAGGCUGCAUCGUAAGAUGCGGGGUAGGGGAGCGUUGUGUAAGCGGAGAAACAGUAGCGUAAGCGGCUGUGGAGUUUACAGAAGUGAGAAUGCCGGAAUGAGUAGCGCGAAUGUGGUGAGAAUCCACAUGGCCGGAAACCUCAGGUUUUUGGAGGAAGGUUCGUCCGCUCCAAGUUAGGCGGGAGCUAAGGUCAGGCCGCAAGGCGUAGCCGAUGCACAGACGGUAGAGAUUCCGUCCCCACCGAAAGAUUUAAGCACAGGGACACUUUUAGAAGGUCGGAGCCAGGUGUUGGUUCUGGUAGUGAUCGAGGGAAAUUUAGUACCGAAGUCCGGCUGGAUGAGAGGCGAGAAAAGCUGUGUGUAUAUCUAAGGUGCCCGUACCGCAAACCGACACAGGUAGGUAGGAAGAAGAUUCUAAGGCCAACGGGAGAAGGGUUGUUAAGGAACUCGGCAAAUUGACCCCGUAACUUCGGGAGAAGGGGUGCUCCAGAGAUGGAGCCGCAGAGAAUCGGCCCAAGCAACUGUUUACCAAAAACACAGGUUUGUGCUAAAUCGAAAGAUGACGUAUACGAGCUGACGCCUGCCCGGUGCUGGAAGGUUAAAAGGAGAUGUGCAAGCAUUGAAUUGAAGCCCCAGUGAACGGCGGCCGUAACUAUAACGGUCCUAAGGUAGCGAAAUUCCUUGUCAGGUAAGUUCUGACCCGCAUGAAAGGCGUAAUGAUCUGGGCACUGUCUCAACAGCCCGCCCGGCGAAAUUGUAGUACCGGUGAAGAUGCCGGUUACCCGCGACAAGACGGAAAGACCCCAUGGAGCUUUACUGUAGCCUGAUAUUGGGUUUCGGUGUUGCAUGCACAGGAUAGAUGGGACGCUGGGAAAGAAGCGCUUUGGCGUUUCUGGAGCGGACGUUGGGAUACCAUCCUUGCGACAUUGGAAUUCUAACCUGCGCCUCUGAAUCGAGGCGGGGGACAUUGUCAGGUGGGCAGUUUGACUGGGGCGGUCGCCUCCUAAAAAGUAGCGGAGGCGUUCAAAGGUUCGUUCGAUCUGGACGGAAACCAGAUGAAUGAGUGCAAACGCAUAAACGAGCCUGACUGCGAGACUGACGGGUCGAGCAGAGACGAAAGUCGGAGUUAGUGAUCCGGUGGUAUGUGAGUGGAAAUGCCAUCGCUCAACGGAUAAAAGUUACCCUGGGGAUAACAGGCU